GUAUUUUUAAGACUAGUCUCUUUCCUGCCUUCCUCUGCUAACAUUCCUAAAUAGGAAAGUGCCAUGUAGGAGAAGGCCAGGAUGUAAGGGGCAUCUGAAUUAGGCAUCUGUGUAUACAUUCUGCCUCCAAAACAAUUCCCGACUUCUUUUUUAGAAGCAGGACUCUGAGACAAGGACUUUAAGUGCAAUAACUUAUUUGGGAAGUGUUCCUAGGAAAUACUCCUGGAGGAAUGAGAAAGUGAUCCAGGGAAGAUAAGGCAGCCAGUAUAUAAUGUGCAUUCAAAUAAUUCAACAUGCGAAUGGGCAACUGAAGUUUAUUCCCUCUGGGAAGCUCCAGGAGGCAGCGCGGAAUAUACACCUCAAGUCACUCCGGCACAGCGGCAAGAGACCCGGGACGUAGUACGCCAGCUCCUGACAGUGAGUGGGUGAGGACAGUAGGGCUCAGUGAGGACAAACAACAUGAUUAUGGCAACCUGUGGACAGAAAGAACUGCGCUUUAGAGACCUAACUACUCAUGGCUCUUGGCCCUACAGCAGGGUGUUGUCUCUUCAAAUAUUUGACUAUAUCCAAAUCUUGUUGGCACCUUCAUGUACUAGACUCUUCUUCUGGGACAGAGGAACCCAUGAUUUGCCUUCAUCAAAGGUAACAAAAUAGUAACUAUGAGUCAGGGGAGAAUAGAAUGAAAAGAAUACCUCAAGGAGAAUAUUCCAGCUUCUCAUCUGCUGUCAGUAUUGGCUCCUGAAUAAGCUCAAGGGAAAUUUCUGUCUGUUCUGCACACCCUCCCACAGUCACAGAACAUUCUAACGGACACUUAUUUUAUGAAAAUUGUUUGUUGCUCUGCAUCUCUUAUAAUUACCUUAUGUAUUUAAGCAAUUAGCAAUCAGAACUCACAUCUUAUUGGUACCCAAG
Molecule: long non-coding RNA, 909 nt
Filed under: Heterocephalus glaber (naked mole-rat)
Lineage: Eukaryota; Metazoa; Chordata; Mammalia; Rodentia; Bathyergidae
Description: lncRNA (ENSHGLG00000038196.1)
Source: RNAcentral